This 73-nucleotide transfer RNA is filed under the name Acinetobacter baumannii. RNAcentral describes it as "tRNA-Asp". It matches the Rfam family "tRNA". Rfam says of the family: Transfer RNA (tRNA) molecules are approximately 80 nucleotides in length. Their secondary structure includes four short double-helical elements and three loops (D, anti-codon, and T loops). Further hydrogen bonds mediate the characteristic L-shaped molecular structure. tRNAs have two regions of fundamental functional importance: the anti-codon, which is responsible for specific mRNA codon recognition, and the 3' end, to which the tRNAs corresponding amino acid is attached (by aminoacyl-tRNA synthetases). tRNAs cope with the degeneracy of the genetic code in two manners: having more than one tRNA (with a specific anti-codon) for a particular amino acid; and 'wobble' base-pairing, i.e. permitting non-standard base-pairing at the 3rd anti-codon position. Lineage: Bacteria; Pseudomonadati; Pseudomonadota; Gammaproteobacteria; Moraxellales; Moraxellaceae. The record is from RNAcentral.
GCAGCGGUAGUUCAGUUGGUUAGAAUACCGGCCUGUCACGCCGGGGGUCGCGGGUUCGAGCCCCGUCCGCGGC